RNAcentral lists this ribosomal RNA (780 nucleotides) under uncultured bacterium. Its description in RNAcentral is "bacterial SSU rRNA". The stretch from base 2 to 531 matches the Rfam family "Bacterial small subunit ribosomal RNA", at positions 9 to 873 of the family's 1533-position model. The record is from RNAcentral.
AGAGUUUGAUCCUGGCUCAGAACGAACGCUGGCGGCAUGCCUAACACAUGCAAGUCGAACGAGAUCUUCGGAUCUAGUGGCGCACGGGUGCGUAACGCGUGGGAAUCUGCCCUUCGGUUCGGAAUAACUCAGGGAAACUUGAGCUAAUACCGGAUAAUGACGUAAGUCCAAAGAUUUAUCGCCGAAGGAUGAGCCCGCGUAAGAUUAGCUUGUUGGUGAGGUAAAAGCUCACCAAGGCUACGAUCUUUAGCUGGUCUGAGAGGAUGAUCAGCCACACUGGGACUGAGACACGGCCCAGACUCCUACGGGAGGCAGCAGUGGGGAAUAUUGGACAAUGGGCGAAAGCCUGAUCCAGCCAUGCCGCGUGAGUGACGACUUGCCCUAGAGGUUGUAAAGCUCUUUUACCCGUGGAUGAUAAUGACUGUACGCGGGAGAGAUAAGCUCCGGCUAGUGUCCGUGCCAGCAGCCGCGAGUAAUACCGGAGGGAGCUACCGUGGUACGGAAUUACUGGGCGUACAGCGCACGUAAGCCGCUGUUGUAUGUUAGGAGGUGAAAAGCUCGGGGGACUCAAACUUCCCUGAUUCUGGCCGUUUUAAAGCAACUGGCCGNUCCCCCCCUGAAAUGUNCCAUGGAACGAAAAGCUCGAAGUUGGGGACCUUAAAUUUACCCUGGUNCCAUUUGUUUGNCCACUCCCGUUUGCAACUCNUNCUGGGAAUUCAAAAAACAUUUUUGGGUUAAAAAGCCUGGGCUUUGUUGUUUACCGCGUUUUUCCACCNCNUG